GACGAACGCUGGCGGCGUGCCUAAUACAUGCAAGUAGAACGCUGAAGGAGGAGCUUGCUUCUCUGGAUGAGUUGCGAACGGGUGAGUAACGCGUAGGUAACCUGCCUGGUAGCGGGGGAUAACUAUUGGAAACGAUAGCUAAUACCGCAUAAUAGUAGAUGUUGCAUGACAUUUGCUUAAAAGGUGCAAUUGCAUCACUACCAGAUGGACCUGCGUUGUAUUAGCUAGUUGGUGAGGUAACGGCUCACCAAGGCGACGAUACAUAGCCGACCUGAGAGGGGGAUCGGCCACACUGGGACUGAGACACGGCCCAGACUCCUACGGGAGGCAGCAGUAGGGAAUCUUCGGCAAUGGACGGAAGUCUGACCGAGCAACGCCGCGUGAGUGAAGAAGGUUUUCGGAUCGUAAGGCUCUGUUGUAAGAGAAGAACGAGUGUGAGAGUGGAAAGUUCACACUGUGACGGUAUCUUACCAGAAAGAGACGGCUAACUACGUG
RNAcentral lists this ribosomal RNA (495 nucleotides) under uncultured bacterium. Its description in RNAcentral is "partial 16S ribosomal RNA". It matches the Rfam family "Bacterial small subunit ribosomal RNA", at positions 28 to 507 of the family's 1533-position model. The record is from RNAcentral.